Long non-coding RNA from Haemorhous mexicanus (house finch), 1714 nucleotides. RefSeq lists it as uncharacterized. The record is from RefSeq and is a predicted model, not a curated record. The transcript is spliced from 2 exons. NCBI's taxonomy places the organism in Eukaryota, Metazoa, Chordata, Aves, Passeriformes, Fringillidae.
AAGAAAAUGCAAGGGAAGAGGUUUUAGAGGAAAUGUCAUUUACAAAUGCAAAUGAACAGUGUCGAAUGGCAAUUUUGAGUCUUCCCCUAGAACCCCCACCUAUACUAAAAGAUAUGCUUCAAGUCUGUAACAGGAAAGCGCCUCUGAUGAGUGUUACUGAAGACGCCAGGUCAAGGCUCCCUCAGCGUGUCGCCGUUGCCAGCCCUGCGCCCAUUCCCUCAGAACAGCAGCACCCUGGGCAGCAGCGAAGACCAGCAAUGGUCUCAGAGAAAUCUACAGAAGCGCCCCAGGUUGCUAAUGCUGCCUGGAGAAGAAAACGCCGUGCGCGUUCUCUAGAAGAAAUUCCAUUUAAGCCUCCUAUCUGGAAUAGUUUGUAAUAUGUUUGUCUUAAGUUUCCUUUCACCACUGUAAAUCCCACUGUUGGUGUGCAGUCUCGAGACGCCAUGAGACCGAGCCUGUUCCUCGCCCUACUCGCAAUCAUUUCUCCAGUGAUCUCCUGGAUAGUCCCUCAACCCAAAGCGAACAUACAUCAAGAGAGAAACUGACGACUAGCUGAGUGGACUGUUCAAAAGCUGGGGACUCUUGGGCUGGUUGAGAUCUAAGCUGAAAACUCUGUUUUUAGUACUGUUUAUUUUAGUUAUUGUUAUUGUAGUUGUUAGCAUUGUUUUUAGUUUAAUCAAACGCAUGGUUCUCAAGUUGAUUUCAAGCUCACCUCCCCCUCCUGAAGUUUACCAUUUAGAAGCCCUUAGUGCUCCAAUAGACGACAUAGAAGCCUCAGUGGAAAACACUGACCCUCCUGCAGAGGAGGAGCCAAUUUACCAACCAUGGUUUGGCAAAAUUUCUGCACCACGAACUCAGUCCUCUUCUUUUUAAACAAAACUAGGGGGAGAUGUUGUGGUGUGAAGUCAUAUCCUGUCCCUUAGCUGUGACUACUUCCUCCUUCCCUUCCCCCUGCCCUCUUCCUAAUUGCUGUCUGUCAAGUUCCACAUUCCAGCAAGGGCAUCGUGUGAUUGGCAGAAAUUCAAAAGAUGCUUCUCAGACCUGGAGUCAUUGGCCUGUCCAGAUGUCAUUGUCCCCUGAGACCCUCCUCCUUCACACCUGGUUGGUAGCUCACCUAUCCUCUCCCUCCCACCUCCCUGUGAGUUUAAAAGGCGCUGGAAAGAUGUGGUCGUGCUCUGUUGGAGCUGUUACUGAGAUUCAGAACUGUGUCACCUUGGAAUAAACUCUGGAUUUAACCCUCCGGCAGAACCCGCUCUCUUUCUCUUCACCAUCGCCUGAACUUUUUCCACUAGAGUGACCAUUUCCGAAGAAUGUCCAGAACAACACCGAAACAACACCUGGGAGAGAUUACAUCAGAUAACGGCUGCGUCCUGGCUACAGCUGAAAGGAAGACAAUUUCGAGGAGCCCAGACAGCCAUCCAAGCCUAUGGACUGACUUUUGUACUGGACUGAAUUUGUAAAGUUCCCGUUAUACAUAUGUAAGAACUUACAGAAAUCUUAAAUCAUUUCUGCUGUAGGCGGAAUAAACUGUAUAUGAGCUGGAUACCUGGAGCAGUUGGUGUGACACUCUGGGGAGACGCUGACACUAUGUCAGUUCAACCCAAGUUCACCCAGCGUCAAAGUCCGGGGUUGGCGGUGUCUGGGCUGUGGCAAUUUUAUAAUAUUCUAUUUUUUGGUUUUCGAUCUAAUAAAUUUAUAAAAUAUUUUUUAUAAA